This is a non-coding RNA of Pelobates cultripes (western spadefoot toad), 580 nucleotides long. The record is from the annotation of a GenBank genome assembly. NCBI's taxonomy places the organism in Eukaryota, Metazoa, Chordata, Amphibia, Anura, Pelobatidae.
AUCACAUCAAUGUACUCCUAAGAGCCGUGAUUUGAUGGCAUCUUAACUCCUGAAGUGUGAUAUUGCCAUAUAUAGUAUAUUACUACCUCCUUCAUCAUUCACAUGCUUAACAGUGCCUAGCGGGGAAGCAGCAACUCACAGCCAAUAUGACAAACUGCUUUUCUUCUUUCAUAUCCAUAUAAUAUCUCUGGUAGCUUCCUAGUUUUCUUAAACUGCUUAUUUGUUUUUUAAAGUCAGCAGACAUUAUAACCAGUUAGGUCACGAAGACUAUAUAUAACAUAUGACGGACAGCAGUAGGAUUGGGGUAGGCCCUGUGGUUUUAUAAUAUGCAGACUAUAUCCUCAGCAGGACAUUUUUAGCUAUUGUGGUUUGGGCAAUCUGAUUAUCAGUUCAAUUGAAAGUGAUCUUGACCAAUCAUAGCCAAAAUCUACCUCUCCCAGCCAAUCAGGUAUCCUGAAAGUCAAGACUUCUCAAUGUUAGAAUUAUGACCUCAGGACUGCCCAUCAGGGACAUAUAUAACCCAAUAUUACAGACGCUUGUUCAAGGGAUUCUACCAUGAACAGUUUUUUAUCCUUUUUCC